RNAcentral lists this ribosomal RNA (486 nucleotides) under uncultured bacterium. RNAcentral's name for it is "partial 16S ribosomal RNA". It matches the Rfam family "Bacterial small subunit ribosomal RNA", at positions 30 to 507 of the family's 1533-position model. The record is from RNAcentral.
AUUGAACGCUGGCGGCAUGCCUUACACAUGCAAGUCGAACGGCAGCACGGGUGCUUGCACCUGGUGGUGAGUGGCGAACGGGUGAGUAAUACAUCGGAACAUGUCCUGUAGUGGGGGAUAGCCCGGCGAAAGCCGGAUUAAUACCGCAUACGAUCCACGGAUGAAAGCGGGGGACCUUCGGGCCUCGCGCUAUAGGGUUGGCCGAUGGCUGAUUAGCUAGUUGGUGGGGUAAAGGCCUACCAAGGCGACGAUCAGUAGCUGGUCUGAGAGGACGACCAGCCACACUGGGACUGAGACACGGCCCAGACUCCUACGGGAGGCAGCAGUGGGGAAUUUUGGACAAUGGGCGAAAGCCUGAUCCAGCAAUGCCGCGUGUGUGAAGAAGGACUUCGGGUUGUAAAGCACUUUUGUCCGGAAAGAAAUCCUUGACUCUAAUACAGUCGGGGGAUGACGGUACCGGAAGAAUAAGCACCGGCUAACUACGUG